GAGAAAACUCGCAAGGACUGCUAACCCAUGCCCCCAUACUUAACACUAUGGCUUUCUCA
This 59-nucleotide transfer RNA is filed under the name Chlorocebus sabaeus (green monkey). Its description in RNAcentral is "tRNA-Ser". The record is from RNAcentral. Lineage: Eukaryota; Metazoa; Chordata; Mammalia; Primates; Cercopithecidae.